UCGGGCUAUCUGCAGUCGAGCGAAUCGAUGGGAGCUUGCUCCCUGAGAUUAGCGGCGGACGGGUGAGUAACACGUGGGCAACCUGCCUAUAAGACUGGGAUAACUUCGGGAAACCGGAGCUAAUACCGGAUACGUUCUUUUCUCGCAUGAGAGAAGAUGGAAAGACGGUUUACGCUGUCACUUAUAGAUGGGCCCGCGGCGCAUUAGCUAGUUGGUGAGGUAAUGGCUCACCAAGGCGACGAUGCGUAGCCGACCUGAGAGGGUGAUCGGCCACACUGGGACUGAGACACGGCCCAGACUCCUACGGGAGGCAGCAGUAGGGAAUCUUCCGCAAUGGACGAAAGUCUGACGGAGCAACGCCGCGUGAACGAAGAAGGCCUUCGGGUCGUAAAGUUCUGUUGUUAGGGAAGAACAAGUACCAGAGUAACUGCUGGUACCUUGACGGUACCUAACCAGAAAGCCACGGCUAACUACGUGCCAGCAGCCGCGGUAAUACGUAGGUGGCAAGCGUUGUCCGGAAUUAUUGGGCGUAAAGCGCGCGCAGGUGGUUCCUUAAGUCUGAUGUGAAAGCCCACGGCUCAACCGUGGAGGGUCAUUGGAAACUGGGGAACUUGAGUGCAGAAGAGGAAAGUGGAAUUCCAAGUGUAGCGGUGAAAUGCGUAGAGAUUUGGAGGAACACCAGUGGCGAAGGCGACUUUCUGGUCUGUAACUGACACUGAGGCGCGAAAGCGUGGGGAGCAAACAGGAUUAGAUACCCUGGUAGUCCACGCCGUAAACGAUGAGUGCUAAGUGUUAGAGGGUUUCCGCCCUUUAGUGCUGCAGCUAACGCAUUAAGCACUCCGCCUGGGGAGUACGGCCGCAAGGCUGAAACUCAAAGGAAUUGACGGGGGCCCGCACAAGCGGUGGAGCAUGUGGGUUUAAUUUCGAAGCAACGCGAGAACCUUUACCAGUCUUGACAUCUCUGACACCCUAGAGAUAGGGCUUUCCCCUUCGGGGACAGAGUGACAGUGUGCAUGAUUGUCGUCAGU
This 1028-nucleotide ribosomal RNA is filed under the name Brevibacterium sp. RNAcentral describes it as "bacterial SSU rRNA". It matches the Rfam family "Bacterial small subunit ribosomal RNA", at positions 42 to 1059 of the family's 1533-position model. Lineage: Bacteria; Bacillati; Actinomycetota; Actinomycetes; Micrococcales; Brevibacteriaceae. The record is from RNAcentral.